UACGGGAGGCAGCAGUGGGGAAUAUUGCACAAUGGGCGCAAGCCUGAUGCAGCCAUGCCGCGUGUAUGAAGAAGGCCUUCGGGUUGUAAAGUACUUUCAGUCGUGAGGAAGGUGUUAAGGUUAAUAACCUUAGCAAUUGACGUUAGCGACAGAAGAAGCACCGGCUAACUCCGUGCCAGCAGCCGCGGUAAUACGGAGGGUGCGAGCGUUAAUCGGAAUUACUGGGCGUAAAGGGCACGCAGGCGGUUAAUUAAGUUGGAUGUGAAAUCCCCGGGCUUAACCUGGGAAUGGCAUUCAAGACUGGUUAGCUAGAGUCUUGUAGAGGGGGUUAGAAUUCCAUGUGUAGCGGUGAAAUGCGUAGAGAUGUGGAGGAAUACCGGUGCGAAGCGGCCCCUGGACAAGACUGACGCUCAUGUGCGAAAGCGUGGGGAGCAAAC
RNAcentral lists this ribosomal RNA (437 nucleotides) under uncultured bacterium. RNAcentral's name for it is "bacterial SSU rRNA". It matches the Rfam family "Bacterial small subunit ribosomal RNA", at positions 340 to 773 of the family's 1533-position model. The record is from RNAcentral.